AUUGAACGCUGGCGGCAGGCCUAACACAUGCAAGUCGAGCGGAUGAAGGGAGCUUGCUCCUGGAUUCAGCGGCGGACGGGUGAGUAAUGCCUAGGAAUCUGCCUGGUAGUGGGGGAUAACGUCCGGAAACGGGCGCUAAUACCGCAUACGUCCUGAGGGAGAAAGUGGGGGAUCUUCGGACCUCACGCUAUCAGAUGAGCCUAGGUCGGAUUAGCUAGUUGGUGGGGUAAAGGCCUACCAAGGCGACGAUCCGUAACUGGUCUGAGAGGAUGAUCAGUCACACUGGAACUGAGACACGGUCCAGACCCCUACGGGAGGCAGCAGUGGGGAAUAUUGGACAUGGGCGAAAGCCUGAUCCAGCCAUGCCGCGUGUGUGAAGAAGGUCUUCGGAUUGUAAAGCACUUUAAGUUGGGAGGAAGGGCAGUAAGUUAAUACCUUGCUGUUUUGACGUUACCAACAGAAUAAGCACCGGCUAACUUCGUG
This 483-nucleotide ribosomal RNA is filed under the name uncultured bacterium. RNAcentral's name for it is "partial 16S ribosomal RNA". It matches the Rfam family "Bacterial small subunit ribosomal RNA", at positions 30 to 507 of the family's 1533-position model. The record is from RNAcentral.